GUAGGUGGCAAGCGUUGUCCGGAAUUAUUGGGCGUAAAGCGCGCGCAGGCGGUUCUUUAAGUCUGAUGUGAAAGCCCACGGCUCAACCGUGGAGGGUCAUUGAAAACUGGAGAACUUGAGUACAGAAGAGGAAAGCGGAAUUCCACGUGUAGCGGUGAAAUGCGUAGAGAUGUGGAGGAACACCAGUGGCGAAGGCGGCUUUCUGGUCUGUAACUGACGCUGAGGCGCGAAAGCGUGGGGAGCAAACAGGGAUUAGAUACCCUGGUAGUCCACGCCGUAAACGAUGAGUGCUAAGUGUUAGGGGGUUUCCGCCCCCUUAGUGCUGCAGCUAACGCAUUAAGCACUCCGCCUGGGGAGUACGGCCGCAAGGCUG
Molecule: ribosomal RNA, 373 nt
Filed under: uncultured organism
Description: partial 16S ribosomal RNA
Rfam family: Bacterial small subunit ribosomal RNA
Source: RNAcentral